Oreochromis aureus is the source of this 1171-nucleotide long non-coding RNA. The record is from Ensembl. NCBI's taxonomy places the organism in Eukaryota, Metazoa, Chordata, Actinopteri, Cichliformes, Cichlidae.
GUUUCUUCCGUGUUUGGAGCCAUGUGCAACUUGACGUAAAGUCUGAGGUCUGGAUGAGCAGGAAUGUCGAUCCUACCGCAGAUAUCCGGACAAAACUUUUGAGAGGAAGGUCAAAGUUUUUUUUUUAGCUGAGACUGCGCUGCUUCUGCGUCCGAAACGGGAAAGAAAGACACGGCAGGCUCAAUGAAGAAUGCCAGGCUGCACAGCUUCUUUGCUCUCAGCAUUAACAGUGACUCUCUUCUGUGCUGUAGUCGGUGAGACUAAAUUCACUAUGAGUGCAGAACAGGAGGUCUACCAUGCAGAAGAAAACAGUAACAUCACAAUGACAUGGCUGUUCCCUUUCGACACCAACAGGCCUCCUGACUUCCUACAAAUAGAGCUAAUAAAUGUGGAAAAGAAGACACGGGUUUACUUCUAUAACAGCAAGACUGGCACUUACAUGUAUCCAGAUGAGAACUACAGAGGACGACUGCAGUGUGAUCCACAGCUCACCAGGAAAGGACGAGUUGAAUGUCUCUUAACUGAUCUCAGGCUCAACGACACGGGGACAUAUCACUGCAUUGUUGUCCUUAACGAAGAAGUUAGUUCCAAAACCUGUGACCUCAAUGUUACAGCUGCUGUUGAAAAAUUGAAGACAGAAACACUGAAACCAGAGAGCCGUCAGAGGAUCGGUCUCUAUUCAGCUCUGGGUUUGUUUGUAGUGGUAAUUUUUGCACUUUCCCUGAAUUACUUGAUUUUAACGUAUUGUAAAUAAUCAAUAUAAUUUGUAUUUAUGUGAAGUAGCAGCCCAUUACAGAUCACUCCUGAGGUCACCUCUGACUGUAAUGAGGCUGCUGACUGUUUUUAAAAUAUUGUUGCAAUUCCUCAGAGCUGUACCACAGAGCAGUGCACACUCACAUCAUCCUCCACUCUCCCAUAUUUAACACAAAUUUAUGCACUUUUAUUUCCAAGGUUUUUUGUUUUUUAAUGACUUCAGUCCACCCUGACCAGUUGCAUCCCAUGUUGUCAGGUUUAGACUGAAGACACAUGGAAACGAGAAAAGUAACGACCAAUGAAUUGGUCAUUUCUUAUUUAGUAAUCAACAAAUAUUCAUUUCGUAGUAUUUCAUAUCAACAAAUUCAGGAGAGUUUUUGUACUGAAGAAGUUAAUAAUAUGCUGCUAAUUAACUCUG